UGUUGUUGCAAUAGCAUUCCUAUUCAGUACGAGAGGAACCACAGAUUCAGAAUCCUGGUGCAUGCGCUUGGCUGAGGAAUAGCCAAGAUGGCAAGGCUACCAUCUGCAGAUUUAUGACUGAAUGACUCUAAGUCAGAACCCCACCUAGACCCCACCUAGAUGUAGUGAUACCUCAGUGCCACCGGCACCUCCGUGGGCUCUGAAUAGCUGCCCACCCCCCCUACAUGGGGCGGGCCUGGUGCGAAGCACCACUUGUGGUUAGGACCAGAGGGGCGGACAGAUGCAGUGUUGCUUCUUGUCCAUCUCGUACCACAUGAUCGUGGAGCACCCAGCUCCAAAUCACUUGCAGAUGACCUGAUUCUAUGUCAGGGUUUCGUACUUAGCAGAGCUUUUCCCUUCCUGCAAUCUAUUGAGAAUUAGCCCUCAAAACAAGAUUU
This 437-nucleotide non-coding RNA is filed under the name Merops nubicus (carmine bee-eater). Its description in RNAcentral is "Eukaryotic large subunit ribosomal RNA". It matches the Rfam family "Eukaryotic large subunit ribosomal RNA", at positions 3006 to 3399 of the family's 3401-position model. The record is from Rfam by way of RNAcentral. Lineage: Eukaryota; Metazoa; Chordata; Aves; Coraciiformes; Meropidae.